GGGAAAGUGGCUCAGUGGUAGAGCGCUCACCUUGCAUGCGUGAGGUCCUGGGUUCAAUUCCUCAGCACCCCA
Molecule: non-coding RNA, 72 nt
Organism: Dipodomys ordii (Ord's kangaroo rat)
Lineage: Eukaryota; Metazoa; Chordata; Mammalia; Rodentia; Heteromyidae
Source: Rfam